RNAcentral lists this ribosomal RNA (253 nucleotides) under uncultured bacterium. RNAcentral's name for it is "partial 16S ribosomal RNA". It matches the Rfam family "Bacterial small subunit ribosomal RNA", at positions 524 to 776 of the family's 1533-position model. The record is from RNAcentral.
AACGUAGGGAGCGAGCGUUAAUCGGAAUUACUGGGCGUAAAGCGUGCGCAGGCGGCUUUUUAAGCCAGACGUGAAAUCCCCGGGCUUAACCUGGGAAUGGCGUUUGGAACUGGAAGGCUAGAGUGUGUCAGAGGGGGGUGGAAUUCCACGUGUAGCAGUGAAAUGCGUAGAUAUGUGGAGGAACACCGAUGGCGAAGGCAGCUCCCUGGGAUAACACUGACGCUCAUGCACGAAAGCGUGGGGAGCAAACAGG